Molecule: transfer RNA, 92 nt
Filed under: Tropicibacter naphthalenivorans
Lineage: Bacteria; Pseudomonadati; Pseudomonadota; Alphaproteobacteria; Rhodobacterales; Roseobacteraceae
Description: tRNA-Phe
Source: RNAcentral
UGCCCUUCCGGCGCGGCACCCAUGUGCUGGAUGAAAUCCGGCUGGAGUUCUUUGGCGACGACACCGCGCUGUUCGAAGCCUUCAAGGGCGGC